Non-coding RNA from Drosophila virilis, 421 nucleotides. Lineage: Eukaryota; Metazoa; Arthropoda; Insecta; Diptera; Drosophilidae. The record is from RefSeq and is a predicted model, not a curated record.
UGUCAAGCUGUGAAAUCUAAGUCAACAGGAGUUAUCUUGCUUGAAUUACAGACUGCAGAUAGGAUAAGAUUAUUCGCAUUACAACAAUGGAAAGAAUUGGAAUAUCAUGGAAAUGAGACGCAACCGCAAAGCUUUGGCCAAAGUCCAAUAACAACAGACCUAUAGACCAGGCGGGACUGUUGUCGUGGCCAGUUGUUACCGGAAGUUUUCUUGUGGUUUAUGUUUAUGCGGUGGCCAAUUAAAGCGCGGUGGCAAUGUCAAUGGCUGGCGAUUGUUUUGGAAAAUCCAAAGGUUUUUCAAAAAGGCAGUUCAUUCACUUUGUGUGCAUUGUCUCUAAAAUACAUAUAAUAUUUAUAUAUUUAUUGGCUAACACUUAUGUCUAGUUGUUAAAUUAAUAUGUUAUUGAUAUUCAUAUAAACGA